AUUGAGGUAGGGUACUGGCAACAGUGCUCUGCUGAAAUAUUUUCACCCAUGUCUUUUGCGCACUUUUUGUUUCCUGGGCGAGUUUGCUCGCCACCAGGACCCCCAUAUGAACCUUUUUUGUUUUUGCACUCAGCGUCAGUACAAUAAUUUAAUCUAUUAAAACUUUCAACAACGGAUCUCUUGGUUCUGGCAUCGAUGAAGAACGCAGCGAAAUGCGAUACGUAGUGUGAAUUGCAGAAUUCAGUGAAUCAUCGAAUCUUUGAACGCACAUUGCGCCCUUUGGUAUUCCAAAGGGCAUGCCUGUUCGAGCGUCAUUUGUACCCUCAAGCUUUGCUUGGUGUUGGGCGUCUUAUUGUCUCUCCGUCUCGGGGAGACUCGCCUUAAAACAAUUGGCAGCCGGCCUACUGGUUUCGGAGCGCAGCACAAAUUUGCGCUUGCAAUCAGCCAAGGGCGGCAUCCAUGAAGCCUUUUUUCUCUCACAUUUUGACCUCGGAUCAGGUAGGGAUACCCGCUGAACUUAAGCAUAUCAAUAAAGCGGAGAAAAAUGAUCCACUCAGAUGUGG
Molecule: ribosomal RNA, 563 nt
Filed under: Exserohilum turcicum
Lineage: Eukaryota; Fungi; Ascomycota; Dothideomycetes; Pleosporales; Pleosporaceae
Description: eukaryotic LSU rRNA
Rfam family: 5.8S ribosomal RNA (bases 161-314)
Source: RNAcentral